GGGAUCUUAAGUUAAAAAAACUGUUGACCUUCAAAGUCAAAAAUAAUUGUAUAAACUUAUAUCUUU
This 66-nucleotide transfer RNA is filed under the name Proasellus escolai. Its description in RNAcentral is "transfert RNA-W(TGA)". The record is from RNAcentral. Lineage: Eukaryota; Metazoa; Arthropoda; Malacostraca; Isopoda; Asellidae.